This 6398-nucleotide long non-coding RNA is filed under the name Sus scrofa (pig). Its description in RNAcentral is "lncRNA (ENSSSCG00005032674.1)". Lineage: Eukaryota; Metazoa; Chordata; Mammalia; Artiodactyla; Suidae. The record is from RNAcentral.
CGAGGAACACUUCAUCUGCAGCUGUAAACUCAGAACUGGUCCCUCUGAAGGCGAGCAUUCAUCUGGAGCACAUUUAUUAUGGCACCAGGCCCCCCCCUCGCCCCCGUCCCCUUGUAGGUGUCAGGACAGCAUUGUGCUCAUUGGUGGGUCUCUGUGGUUGUAACGUCAGGGCUGUACUUUCAAAUGGAAAUCAGGCAAUUACGCUCCACAUGGAGAAACCUGACAGAGGCAGAGGUUUGACACCACUGGCGGUGUCACAGGGACAAAGGCAGCCAGCGCUCCCAGGGGAUGGUUAAAUAAAUAGAGUAUGUUUCAAGAGCUCAGAGAAAUCCAGGAAUAAUUAACUGCGUGAUGAGAGUUCAUAGAUCCUGUGGCUGUUUAACUUCAAAAUGUGAUAAUGAUAUGUCAACGAACUGCUUAACUCAUCCUUGAAAAAGCAAAAAAGAGGCAUCGGAAAACCCAUCGGUGUGCAAAGAGGUGGGCGCCACUCUGCGCGUGCUUUCCCGUUUCCCACUGCAAAGCGUCUUUUUCAAACGCAGGGCAUUUUCUCCUGUUUCGCUUCCCCCACACAGAGGGCUCCAGAAGAGGGGUUGGUCACAGCCUGGUGCCCACUGCGGAGCAGCUUCUGGUCAUUCUGUGUUGAACACAGAGGCGCUCAGCUGGCAACUCGGGUGGUGAUAUUACCGUGGCUGCCACUGGUCCAUUAUCUAUGUGCCAGGCGCCAGCCACAGGCUCUAGCCUCGUAAGUGCCGUGACUACCCACACUUUACAGAUGCGAAAAUGAGCACAGAGGUUAAGUGGAAAAACUGGGCUUCAGGUCUGGCCCCCACCCAACUCUGGGCUUAGUGCUCAGACGCUAGGUUGUACCCUCCUACUGUUUCAACAGGGAGAUACUCAAAGCACCCUUAGAAAGCACCUACGUCAGAUGCAUAGGGUUAGAGUGGACAGGAGAAACGUGAAAUAAAGGCUUAGGACUGAAUUCCGCCCCCCGCCCCGCCGCCAAUACCCAGUUGUUUAAUCGAAUGGUUCAUUUGGCGCCUGAAACACGCAAGGUUUACUUGAUGUGUCCCAAACUGGAUUGAAAUCCAUCUAUACCACCAAAAAGCGCUCCCAAAUCCUGGCCGUUGCUCUUCUCUCUCAUGGAAGAGGACCCCAGAGCAGGCUUUGGUCCAUAACUCUGGACAUCACUCCCUUGGACUAGACAAAAGCUGGUUCCACUUGGAACUGAGAAAAAGAGAAGAGAUUUUUCUUAGAAAAUUUCAGCAAAUGAUCAUAGGUCUAUGUAGGCAUCUCUAAUGCGGUCUCAAAAACUGCUCAUGUGUAGGGUCCCUGAGGCCCCCCUCCUGCAGAGAAUACCCCAACCAAAGCAGGGCCGAGGAAAACAUCCACCAGCAGCUUGGCAAGCGGAGCCCUGUCCCAUCACGACUCGUUUGAUCUUAUUCAAGGGCCGGAAACCUUCAGGAGAGUCAAAAGCUUUUAGAGCAUCAGAGUUCCCGUCGUGGCACAGUGGUUAACGAAUCCGACUGGGAACCAUGAGGUUGUGGGUUCAAUCCCUGGCCUUGCUCAGCGGGUUAAGGAUCUGGCGUUGCCCUGAGCUGUGGUGUAGGUUGCAGACGCGGCUCAGAUCCUGCAUUGCUGUGGCUCUAGCAUAGGCUGGGGGCUACAGCUCCGAUUCGACCCCUAGCCUGGGAACCUCUGGCCCAAAGAGAUAGCAAAAAGACAAAAACAAAAAACCCGAGUUAAAAAGGACUGAAAACCUAAGUGACAAGCACAAAGGAGACUUAAGAAUGGACUACUCAACCAUAUCCCACGCACGCAAUGGGCCAGGCAGAGUCACCUGCCAUCACAGCAAGGCCUCGUUCCGUAGAGGCUGAGCAUUAAUGACUCAGAUGAAAAAAGUCAGUGGACAAAGUGGGAAAACCAAUUAAAAAUCAGGACUGUAUAAAAAAUUUUAGGUCAAGAACUGAAAAUGGAGGUUAAUAGCCUGAAAAUACAAGUCAUAGCUAACGUGAUUCAACUGGCCAAUGUCCAUGGUCAGUUACUGGCCUACCAUAUCCAUUCCACAAAAUAAAGUUAUGAUUCCACAAAGUUUUAAAUUAAGCAUUUGGUCAAAAGCAAAGUCGGUUUGAGAAAUUUCUAACACUUGCCUAGAUUCAACAAAUGUCAUUUUGCAAAGUUCAAGAUGCCCAAAUUUGCAGAGAUAAUUCAUUAAACCUGAGCUGUCAACUCAUUUGACCGUGACCAGUAAUGAGCAUCAGAAAUAGAGCCAGUAGUCAGUUUAACCUCCUCAAAACAGAAUCACGCUUAGCAAACCACACAACAAUCUUUGUGGCCAUCAACUUACGAUAGAAAAAAGAUUUUAAAAACACCCUCUGAUUAAAAAGCAAUGGCUUCUACUUUCCCCCUCUUUUACCACAUUUACUUGAAAAUACUCUAAUCUUAGGAUCGUGACUUUUUUUGAAGUCAACGGUGGUCGGCAUAAUCAAUUGAUUUUGACCCAAUGCUUCCAGAAAGAUGUGUUUGGUAUUUGACUAUUAACCAGGCCCUCAGAGAGCAGAUUGUGACUGUGACUCUGACCCUAGCUCCCUAACGCCUAAGCGUUUUAGGCCAAGUAAAGCAAGUUGCCGGCCAGUGAGGUGUGGAUACAUCAGCAGGGAUGCCACAGGGCAGGAAAGGGCUCAAGAACCACUUCAAUAAAGCACCGAACUUCUCUCCACUUGACCAUGGGCAGCAGGAACUUUGAAAAGCCACCUCCUGUAUUAAGAGGGGACAGUGGGCAGACAUGAAAACCACGUGGGAUUUCUCAGAUUCCCAUCGCCAUACCCUUGAGAAAAUCUUCAGACUGAGCCACAGUCCUCAGAUGGGUUGAGGUGAAAACACAGCUGAAAGCCGCUGACUUACAUCAAAACCUUAAUAAUGGCCAUCUUGGGGAACUAGAGUUUUGGGCGACUUUUCCUCCUUCAUGUGGUUGGUUUUAUCCUAAUGAUGCAGUGCAUUUCCAGCAAGCUGUUUACACGACCGGGCACUGGAGCUGAGCCACCGGGUUCGGAGGCUGGCUCUGCAGCUCAUCGGCGGGUACAAAUCGUCGUCUAUUUCUGACUCAGUUUUCUGUCAAGGCCAAGCUCACAGUGCCUUCCUCAAAAAGCUACAAUGAUUAGUGAGAUGACGUUCCCAAAGCAGGCAGUGCCUUGCCCAUUAGCGGUGCCAUCAGUGUUAACUGUUACAAAACCCUUAUACCGCUGUAUGGCUUCUUAGAGAAAUAGGCAACAAGUGGAAACCCCAUCUCACUGAUGGGGCCAAUACUACUUUCAGGUGCCACUGAUCACCUGGAAUAAAGCAAGAAGCAUCUGAGAUUCCUUCUCUACCGUGUGUCCCAGUGUUUAUCACUCAGGGCAACCUCAAUUUAUCAGCCACUAUGUCCAUUUUAAGCUACCAAUGGCUUCACGAAUGGCCUGCGACACUCCCAAAUAUUUAACAAUUCUAUUCAUGAGUCAGCACAAUGCUGGCUAGCCUCUCUGAAAUUUAACACUUUAAAUUGCAUUUUAAAUAGCAGUUUGUGUUUGACAAUGAUGGGUGGGGACCAGAAGGGGUGUGUGGGGGGGUGAACCCUGUCCAUAUCCUCAGGCCAGUGCUAACGAGUUAAUUCGUAGGCUGUAUUACCAGUGGGGGCCAUCAGCUGUACAUGGUUUUCUGGUUGGACUGGUUUUUUGGGGUUGAUUUCUCUUAUUGUGGAGGUAAAAUCUAGAGAUUCCUUGGAAACCUGUAGGGUUCUAACAAAUAAGACUAUUACUUCCCAAGCAGCUCCAGCACUGAGGAAAGGAGUGCGGUUGAGCAACCUCAGAACUGCUUUUUUAAAAGAUUCAAGUAUUUUUUCUUCAAUUCACCUUAAAGAUCAAAAAAGGUGUAAAUUAUGGUAUGUCUGCACCUGUACACUCAUCGCUUUGUCAUUUUUGCUUGUUUUAUAUUUAAAGUCAACACAUGUUUCUAUUUCCCCACUUCCUGUGUUACUCAGAAGAUAAGCUUAGUGGAAACCAGUGUAAAGCCUUUUUAACCUAAUAGAAUUCGAGUUUCUCCCCAUGUAAUAGGGAGUAUCCUCAUUUUUCACAAUUGCAUGUUUACGUGGCACAUUCAGAACGGCCCAAAUUCCAUGCACUCCUCUGCCCAUUGAGAGGUGGCUGGAUUCUUCACCGUGUGGUGACCUUUGUGACUUGGUUUGGCCAACAGUACAGAGCAAGCGAGGCUUGGCUUCGCAGGGGUGAAGAAACGGUCUGUUCCCACCUCCUGCCAACCCCCCCCCGGGGGGGGGCAGGUGCUUGGAGGGAGGUCUGAGGUUCAGGAAGCCUCCGCUCUAGGAGGUAGCCCAAAGCAGUACAUGUAGAGAGACCUUGCAGAGAGAUUCUUAGAGGGUCCCCAGCUACUUCCAUUCUAGCUCACACCCCAGACAUAGCCAAUGACGACAGUAGGGACUUCAGAUGAUUGGUAUCAACUAUUAUCUGUUUCGCCCUGAGAAUUCCUAAGCGCCCAGCUGAGCUCCAUCACCCCAUGGCAUGGGCCAGAGAGGGAGAGAAUACAGUGUUUUAACUUCUAUAUUUUGAGGUUGUUACAUAGCAACUGAUAACCGUAACACGUUUUGCAGCUACACGAUUUAGUUAGCCCCUUACAGGUCAUUGCGAACUUUGACUUCAAAAGAUGUAAUGAAUAGUCUUGCCUAUAUAUCGUUUUAUGCAGUUGCAAGUAAAGUUCCCAGAGCUGAACAUCGUCAAAGAAGUGAAUUUGCCCUGAUUCCCAUUCAUGUCAAGCAUACGUUUCCUUGCCCGUUUUUCUAUUCUUUUACGUAUCAGUUUCUAGACAGUCAUUCUACGUCACAGGAGGCACAACUUUUUUCCCCCCACUUAUCUUCGGAUUUUGGUCUGUUGACUUUUGCUCUCAAGAAUUAAGUCAAGUUUAACAUUUAAUCUUUGAUUCACUUGUUCUGAUGAAUACAGUUACUAGUAACAAAUUAUCUUUGUAGCAUGUAAGUGGAAUUACACACAGGGAUAUUUCACUAGGGGAGAUUUGACAUCUUUAUGAAGUUCAGUUUAUGCAAGAAGAUGGUAUUACCUUUGUAUUUAAGGCUUUCAAGUGUUUCAGAAUCAAUUUACAUGUUGACUUGCAACAUUGCUUAGAUUCAGCCUUGGUUACUUCAGCAUUUUUCAUUGUUAUGUUAAGUGUCAAAGAGCCUUCUCUUGCAUUGUAUUUAACGAGUUUAGAUUCAGGAGAGUUUUUGAAAGUGAUUGUUAAGCCUGAAAUAUUUUCGUGAGCUUUUUCAAAUGAUCCUUUUGGGUUAUCCAAGCAUACCAAUUCUAACUUUGCAGUUUCUGCAACUCUCAUUUCUGUUUAUAGCAUUUUAAUCUUACUCCUGACUUUAGUAGGAAUGCCAUUGGUCUCUCUCCUUUAAAGGUAACGUUGGCUUUCAACUUGGUUUACGUGGGAGAACUACACAUCUGUUCCUAGUCCACUGAAUUGUUUACAUCAAUGUAUUUUCAGUUUUAAGCAUCUAAAGUACAUAUUUCUUUGAUCAUCAAUACGGUGAACUCGCAUAUUAGACUUGCUAUUGAACCUUUUGCACUGAAUAAGCCCUGCUUUGUCACAUUGUAUUCUUUGAGUUGCUUGCAUCUGAGAUUUUGUUCCAUAUUUCUGCAUCAGUAUUUAAGUUGAACUGUACGAUUGUUACCAGGUCUCUGUAUGUUUUGCUCGCUUUUCAUCUGUUUAUUAGGCCUUUCCCAUAUCUACUUUGUUCGGCUGGCUUUUCUCACUUUGGUCACCCAAGUUCCUCACUUAAGUUUUGUUUCUUUUCCUGGUUCAUCUUCGAGUUUCUUUCCUCCCACUUCUACCCUGGGCCUCCCCAGCUCACACGUAGUCUCUUUGUCUUAUAACGGCUACCGACCAAUUACUGCAUCUCUGCUUUGUAGAAGCAAGUAAUUGACGUUUGUAGUAAACACUAAACUGCUUUCAGCUGUUUUCUGGCGACAUGUUAUCUGCCAUUUACCUUCCCUAAUCUUCGAGUUUAUUUCUCGAAUCUUUGAAAUAACUUCAGUUUUUGGCCUCUCACCUUUGAGGCAGGUGGAUUUUUCUUGGACCACAUGUCCGCAGGGCCACCUCCCAUCCUAGAAGUUCUCCUUAUGAACUAGGGUCUUCAGAUGGUUCUAGAUAUAUUCUUGCCAGCCGAAAGAGAAGCAGCCGAAAGAGGUUUUUAAGGAGCAUCUUUGCCCUGCUCCCGAUAGGUAGCAUGUUCCUUACAAGCAUGAACUUUUUAGAAAAUUUACUUUCUGCAGCUAAACUACACCCAGAAUUUUUUGCUGCCUCCACUACUACUUUCCCCUCUGCGGUAAACGUGAGAUCCAGACCCUCUUUCUCCC